GUGAGGAAUAUUGGUCAAUGGGCGGGAGCCUGAACCAGCCAAGUCGCGUGAAGGAAGAAGGAUCUAUGGUUCGUAAACUUCUUUUGCAGGGGAAUAAAGUGCAGGACGUGUCCUGUUUUGUAUGUACCCUGAGAAUAAGGAUCGGCUAACUCCGUACCAGCAGCCGCGGUAAUACGGAGGAUCCGAGCGUUAUCCGGAUUUAUUGGGUUUAAAGGGUGCGUAGGUGGUUUGAUAAGUCAGCGGUGAAAGUUUGCAGCUUAACUGUAAAAAUGCCGUUGAAACUGUCGGACUUGAGUGUAAAUGAGGUAGGCGGAAUGCGUGGUGUAGCGGUGAAAUGCAUAGAUAUCACGCAGAACUCCGAUUGCGAAGGCAGCUUACUAAGCUACAACUGACACUGAAGCACGAAAGCGUGGGGAUCAAACAGGAUUAGAUACCCGGGUAGUCC
RNAcentral lists this ribosomal RNA (445 nucleotides) under uncultured bacterium. RNAcentral describes it as "partial 16S ribosomal RNA". It matches the Rfam family "Bacterial small subunit ribosomal RNA", at positions 354 to 796 of the family's 1533-position model. The record is from RNAcentral.